Molecule: ribosomal RNA, 454 nt
Filed under: uncultured Prevotella sp.
Lineage: Bacteria; Pseudomonadati; Bacteroidota; Bacteroidia; Bacteroidales; Prevotellaceae
Description: bacterial SSU rRNA
Rfam family: Bacterial small subunit ribosomal RNA
Source: RNAcentral
ACGGGAGGCAGCAGUGAGGAAUAUUGGUCAAUGGGCGGAAGCCUGAACCAGCCAAGUAGCGUGCAGGAUGACGGCCCUAUGGGUUGUAAACUGCUUUUGUCAGGGAAUAAAAAGGAAUACGUGUAUUCCAUUGCAUGUACCUGAAGAAUAAGGACCGGCUAAUUCCGUGCCAGCAGCCGCGGUAAUACGGAAGGUCCGGGCGUUAUCCGGAUUUAUUGGGUUUAAAGGGAGCGCAGGCGGCCUUUUAAGCGUGUUGUGAAAUGUAGUGGCUCAACCUCUGCACUGCAGCGCGAACUGGAGGGCUUGAGUACGCGGGAAGUAGGCGGAAUUCGUCGUGUAGCGGUGAAAUGCUUAGAUAUGGCGCAGAACCCCGAUUGCGAAGGCAGCUUGCCAGCAUGCAACUGACGCUGAGGCACGAAAGCGUGGGUAUCAAACAGGAUUAGAUACCCUGGUA